Molecule: long non-coding RNA, 908 nt
Organism: Phyllostomus discolor (pale spear-nosed bat)
Lineage: Eukaryota; Metazoa; Chordata; Mammalia; Chiroptera; Phyllostomidae
Exons: 2
Source: RefSeq, a predicted model, not a curated record
CUUUCUCCCUCCCUCCUUUCUCUCUUAAAAAAAAUCAACACAACAAAAUUGUAGAACAUAAACUUGGAGGAAAAGUGAACUUUUCCCAAUUCCAGACUCUAGUGUCUCCGUCUGUCAUCCCUUGACCCUCCGACAGCGUCCAUCUGUCAGGCCCUCAUCUCCAGGUCAGACCCGCAGCCAGCAUCACACAGGAGGUGGCUUGCGUGCGGGUGUGAGGGGAAGCCAGCCCACAUCAAAUGCCACAGCCCGAGGCCCCAUGCCCCUGUGCCUGCCUUUCCUGUUAUUCCUCCAGAGCUCUCCUGCCCUGGAUGUUUCUCCUUAUCCCUUCUGCUUGCCUUCUACCAUUGAUCUGGAGGGCAGAAGUCUGGCAGGGCUGCAUACCUUCCAGAGGCUCCAGGGGAGAAUCCAUCCCUUGCCUUUUCCAGCUUCUAGAGACCGUCUGCGUUUCCUGGCUUGUGGACCCACAUCGCCCCAACCUCAUUUCUGUCAUCACAUCUCGUUUGACUCUGAGCCCACCUCCUAUCAGGACCCUGUGGUUACAUUUGGCCCACCUGCAUAAUCCAAGAUAAUCUUCCAUUGCAAGAGCCUCACUUUACUCAUGUCUGCGAAUUCCCUUUGGCCAUGUAAGGUCACACAUGCACAGGCCCCAGGGACUAGGAUGCGGACCUUUUUGGAGGGCCUGUCACACAGCUCUUAGAACGGGAGGCAUCCCCUGCUUCAGCCUUUCCAUCUUCAGGUCCAGAAAGUUUCUUCUCCUAACCACCCAGUCCUUUUCUCUGUGAACGAGGCCGGAACCAGGGGAUCUCCAGAGGUUCUGCUGCUCCUCUAAGGGAGGACAGGGAGGAGGCACCAGGGGUCAGGUUCCUUGUCCGGCUCUCCCUCUUACCGUGCCGGGUUGAAAUCUGAGA